Molecule: ribosomal RNA, 1701 nt
Filed under: Pardachirus pavoninus (Pacific sole)
Lineage: Eukaryota; Metazoa; Chordata; Actinopteri; Pleuronectiformes; Soleidae
Description: 16S ribosomal RNA
Rfam family: Bacterial large subunit ribosomal RNA (bases 96-1594)
Source: RNAcentral
CACUAGCAAACUAGCCCAAACACCCCAAACACAACGAGACCUUAUAAAUAAACCCCAACACACUCAACCAACCAAACAAAACAUUUUUUUCCUUAGUACGGGAGACGAAAAAGGACACCCGGAGCUAUAGAGAAAGUACCGCAAGGGAAAGCUGAAAGAGAAAUGAAAAGACAACAAAGUACAAAAAAGCAGAGACUAACCCUCGUACCUUUUGCAUCAUGAUUUAGCAAGUAUAACCAAGCGAAGAGCCCUUUAGUUUACUACCCCGAAACUAGGUGAGCUACUCCAAGACAGCCUACAAACCAGGGCAAACCCGUCUCUGUAGCAAAAGAGUGGGAAGAUCUUUGAGUAGAGGCGACAAACCUAUCGAACCCAGUUAUAGCUGGUUGCUUGGGAAUUGAAUUUAAGUUCAGCCUCUAAGCUUCUUAAGCCACCUCGUGCCUAUUAUUAUAGGAAAAAGAAACUAAGAGAGUUAAUUAAAGGUGGUACAGCCCCUUUAAAACAGACACAACUUUUACAGAAGGGUAAGGAUCACACUGAUCACAAAGGAGUAUGUACCCUGUGGGCUUUAAAGCAGCCACCUUUUUACAAAAGCGUAGUAGCUCAAACAACAACCUACCAAAACCCAUAAUUAAGAUAAUACACCCCACCCCCCUGCAACACUACCAAGCCACCCCAUAAAUAUGGGAGAGACCAUGCUAAUAUGAGUAAUAAGAGAAGUAAUCCCCCUCUCCCAGUACAAGUGUAAGUUGGCACACGACCAAAGCCAACUAUUAACGGCCCCAGACAAAAGAGGGCACUGAAAACAAAAUAAAGAACAAGAAGAACUUUCAAAAAACAACCGUUAACCCAACACAGGAGUACUAUAUUAAAGGAAAGACUAAAAGGACGGGAAGGAACUCGGCAAAUACUUAGCCUCGCCUGUUUACCAAAAACAUCGCCUCUUGCUUAUGAUAUAAGAGGUCCUGCCUGCCCAAUGACAUACAUGUUCAAUGGCCGCGGUAUAUUAACCGUGCGAAGGUAGCGCAAUCACUUGUCUUUUAAAUGAAGACCCGUAUGAAUGGCAAGACGAGGGCUUAACUGUCUCCCCCCCCCAGUCAAUGAAAUUGAUCUUUCCGUGCAGAAGCGGAAAUGAUAACAUAAGACGAGAAGACCCUGUGGAGCUUUAGACAGUUAACCGCCCAUAACAAACACCACCAAACAAAGCAAAGUGAACCAAUGGUGCCCGUCCCACUGUCUUCGGUUGGGGCGACCUUGGGGUAAUAUAUAACCCCCACAUGGAAUGAAGCAUUUACCCACCACACCUGUCAUCCAAAGUCAGAGCUAACAACUCUAACUAACAGAACUUCUGACCCACCUUGAUCCGGCAACGCCGAUCAAUGAACCAAGUUACCCCAGGGAUAACAGCGCAAUCCCCUUAUAGAGCCCAUAUCAACAAGGGGGUUUACGACCUCGAUGUUGGAUCAGGACACCCCAAUGGUGCAACCGCUAUUAAAGGUUCGUUUGUUCAACGAUUAAAGUCCUACGUGAUCUGAGUUCAGACCGGAGCAAUCCAGGUCAGUUUCUACCUAUGGUGUUAUCUUUUUUAGUACGAAAGGACCAAAGAGAAGAGGCCCAUUUCACAGAUACGCCUCACCCUCAAUUUGUGAAUUAAUCUAAACAUAUAACAGGGAGCGGUAUCUCAAGCGGAGAUAACGCUUA